RNAcentral lists this ribosomal RNA (491 nucleotides) under uncultured bacterium. RNAcentral describes it as "partial 16S ribosomal RNA". It matches the Rfam family "Bacterial small subunit ribosomal RNA", at positions 29 to 507 of the family's 1533-position model. The record is from RNAcentral.
GUGAACGCUGGCGGUAGGCCUAACACAUGCCAGUCGAACGGCAGCACAGUAAGAGCUUGCUCUUACGGGUGGCGAGUGGCGGACGGGCGAGGAAUACAUCGGAAUCUACUUUUUCGUGGGGGAUAACGUAGGGAAACUUACGCUAAUACCGCAUACGACCUACGGGUGAAAGCAGGGGAUCUUCGGACCUUGCGCGAUUGAAUGAGCCGAUGUCGGAUUAGCUAGUUGGCGGGGUAAAGGCCCACCAAGGCGACGAUCCGUAGCUGGUCUGAGAGGAUGAUCAGCCACACUGGAACUGAGACACGGUCCAGACUCCUACGGGAGGCAGCAGUGGGGAAUAUUGGACAAUGGGCGCAAGCCUGAUCCAGCCAUACCGCGUGGGUGAAGAAGGCCUUCGGGUUGUAAAGCCCUUUUGUUGGGAAAGAAAAGCAGCAGGUUAAUACCCCGCUGUUCUGACGGUACCCAAAGAAUAAGCACCGGCUAACUUCGUG